RNAcentral lists this transfer RNA (74 nucleotides) under Garciella nitratireducens. RNAcentral describes it as "tRNA-Arg". It matches the Rfam family "tRNA". Rfam says of the family: Transfer RNA (tRNA) molecules are approximately 80 nucleotides in length. Their secondary structure includes four short double-helical elements and three loops (D, anti-codon, and T loops). Further hydrogen bonds mediate the characteristic L-shaped molecular structure. tRNAs have two regions of fundamental functional importance: the anti-codon, which is responsible for specific mRNA codon recognition, and the 3' end, to which the tRNAs corresponding amino acid is attached (by aminoacyl-tRNA synthetases). tRNAs cope with the degeneracy of the genetic code in two manners: having more than one tRNA (with a specific anti-codon) for a particular amino acid; and 'wobble' base-pairing, i.e. permitting non-standard base-pairing at the 3rd anti-codon position. Lineage: Bacteria; Bacillati; Bacillota; Clostridia; Eubacteriales; Eubacteriaceae. RNAcentral also lists the same sequence under 1 other name. The record is from RNAcentral.
GCGCCUAUAGCUCAGCUGGAUAGAGUGGCAGACUUCGAAUCUGAAGGUCGGGGGUUCGAAUCCCUCUAGGCGCA